This 393-nucleotide ribosomal RNA is filed under the name uncultured bacterium. RNAcentral describes it as "partial 16S ribosomal RNA". It matches the Rfam family "Bacterial small subunit ribosomal RNA", at positions 523 to 918 of the family's 1533-position model. The record is from RNAcentral.
AUACGGAGGAUGCGAGCGUUAUCCGGAUUUAUUGGGUUUAAAGGGUGCGUAGGCUGUUUUUCAAGUCAGGGGUGAAAUGACGGGGCUCAACUCGGGAGCUGCCUUUGAUACUGGGAUGCUGGAAUACUGUUGCCGUGGGAGGAAUGAGUAGUGUAGCGGUGAAAUUCAUAGAUAUUACUCAGAACACCGAUUGCGAAGGCAUCUCACGAAGCAGUGAUUGACGCUGAGGCACGAAAGCGUGGGGAUCAAACAGGAUUAGAUACCCUGGUAGUCCACGCAGUAAACGAUGAUAACUAACCGUUGGCGAUAGACAGCCAGUGGCCAAGCGAAAGCGAUAAGUUAUCCACCUGGGGAGUACGACCGCAAGGUUGAAACUCAAAUGAAUUGACGGGG